UACAGAGGGGGCAAGCGUUAUUCGGAAUUAUUGGGCGUAAAGGGCGCGUAGGCGGCAUGGCAAGUGGAUGGUGAAAUCCCUCGGCUUAACCGAGGAACUGCCGUCCAAACUGCUUCGCUUGAGACCGGGAGAGGUGAGUGGAAUUCCCAGUGUAGCGGUGAAAUGCGUAGAUAUUGGGAGGAACACCAGUGGCGAAGGCGGCCCACUGGAUCGGUACUGACGCUGAGGUGCGAAAGCGUGGGGAGCAAACAGG
This 253-nucleotide ribosomal RNA is filed under the name uncultured bacterium. RNAcentral's name for it is "partial 16S ribosomal RNA". It matches the Rfam family "Bacterial small subunit ribosomal RNA", at positions 524 to 776 of the family's 1533-position model. The record is from RNAcentral.